Molecule: long non-coding RNA, 360 nt
Filed under: Ursus thibetanus thibetanus
Lineage: Eukaryota; Metazoa; Chordata; Mammalia; Carnivora; Ursidae
Description: lncRNA (ENSUTTG00000019163.1)
Source: RNAcentral
AUGUGCUUGCUGGUCAUUUGUGUAUCUUCUUUACAGAAAUGUCUAUUCAGGCCCUUUGCCAAAUUACCAUCUCUGUUGCAACCUGCCGGGCAGGUCACAUCACAGCCUCUGCUGCAAUGGGCCCCAAACCAUCAGGAAUUCAACAACAGCCAGCUUUCCUAUUGUUGGCUCGAGCUUUCAACUCAGCACUCAGCAGAGAAAGCCAAAUCUGCUUCCCAAACCCAUCAUAUGGCUCCAGGUUCCUGUGACUGCAUAGGAGUCUGUUGGAUUAUUCUGUUUAUCUUUCCCAGUGGCCAAGACAUUGUUCCCAGCCCACAAAUGUGGAAAGCCCUGGGCCUGGACCUGUCUCGCCUUGAGUGA